This 1434-nucleotide long non-coding RNA is filed under the name Pan troglodytes (chimpanzee). RNAcentral's name for it is "lncRNA (ENSPTRG00000054545.1)". Lineage: Eukaryota; Metazoa; Chordata; Mammalia; Primates; Hominidae. The record is from RNAcentral.
GGGAGACCCCUGUCUCUACAGAUGAGUUUUCUAUAAAAUAGCCAGGCCUGGUGGUACCUGCCUGUAGUCUCAGCUAUUGGGGAGGCUGAGGCAGGAGGACUGCUUGAGCCCAGGAGGCCGAGGCUGCAGUGAGCUUUGAUCAAGCCACUGCACUCCAGCCUGGGCAACAGAGUGAGACCCUGUCCCCUAAAACAAAACCCGUCAAUAGGAAACAGAAGUUACAAGGACCAAAUCAGGAUCUUGGUUUAGAACAUGAAGUCUCCAAAACUGGAGUGAUGAGACAUUGGAGAGACAUCCUCAUCACCCACCACCUCAACCCAUUGCCCUCAUGCUUAAAUCUGGUCCCCCCUCGAGGUAUCAACUGCACAGCAUAUUCCUUCCUAACAUCAGCCUAUGCUGUAGUAUUCAUCUUUUCCUCCUUUCCAUUAACCUUUCCUUUUCCCUGGAGUCUGGAGUUUCCCAGGACAAAAGUAAUAGAGCUCAAAGCUGGAAGGAGAUGGAGGAAAGACUUCUGUUGGCAUAGUAAGGCGCUAUCUCCCUUGCUCACAACUGAUCAACCUGUCACCCUCUGUGGAGCAGGAGCCUGGCUGGUUCCUCCUGCUCCAGCCCUGGGCUUGGGGCCCCACUCACCUGCCUCACUCAACUCAUCUCUCCCUUCCUCUUUCUUCCAACCCUGGCCCAAGGAAUCCUUUCUCUCCGAGGCUGCAGGGGACCCAUCCUUCCUCACUUAUCAGCGUGCUCCCAAAUGCAGUGACUAUAACUGAAAGGCCUUCCUUUUUCCAAAAAUGAUGGCUAUUUGAAACUCAAAAGGCAGUGAUUGAGUCUUUAAUACGUUAAACACAGAGAUACCAUAAGACCCAGAAAUUCUCCUCCUGGGUAUAUACCCAAAAGAAUUGAAAGCAAGUGUUCAAGCGGAAUCUUGUAUGUGAUAAUUCAUAGCAGCAUUCCUUAUAAGAGGCAAAAGAUAGGAAUAGCCUAUCAUCCUUCAACUGAUGAAUGGAUUGCAAAGUCCGGUUUCUCCAUAAAACAGAAUAUUAUUCAUCCACAAGAAGGAAUGAAAUACUGAUACACGCUACAACGUGAAUGAACUUGAAGUCACUAUGUUAAGUGAAAGAAAUCAGUCCCAAAGGACACUGAGUCUAUGGUUCCGUUUAUAUACAAUGUCCACAAUAGGCAAAUCUAGAGAGACAGAAAGUAGAUUAGUGGUGGCCAGAGGCUGGGGUGAGGGGGAAUGAGGAGUUACAUUUAGUGGUGUCAUCCUUUGGGGGAGAUAAAAAUGUUUUGGAACUAGAUAGUGAUAAAGGCUGCACAACACUGUGAAUGCCGUAAAUGUCGCUAAUGGUAGAUUUUAUGUUAUAUGUGUUUUACCACAAUAAAAACAAAGUAAAAUAGAUAAUUCCUUUAAAAAAAAGCCAUAGAUUGAUUCCUUUCCCA